CCUACGGGAGGCAGCAGUGGGGGAUAUUGCACAAUGGGGGAAACCCUGAUGCAGCGACGCCGCGUGGGGGAAGACGGUCCUCUGGAUUGUAAACCACUGUCACCAGGGACGAAGAUGACGGGACCGGGGGAGGAAGCGCCGGCUAACUACGUGCCAGCAGCCGCGGUAAUACGGAGGGAGCGAGCGUUGUCCGGAAGUACUGGGGGUAAAGGGAGCGGCGGCGGGACUGCACGUUGGGGGUCAAAUCUACCGGCUCAACCGGUAGCCGCACUCAAAACUGCAGUUCGUUAGUGAAGUAGAGGCAGGCGGCAUUCCUAGUGUAGCGGUGCACUGCGUCGCUAUUAGGCGGACCACCAGUGGCGCAGGCGGCCUGCUGGGCUUUUUCUGACGCUGAGGCUCGACCGUGUGGGGAGCACACCGGAUUCGAUACCCGGGUAGUC
This 440-nucleotide ribosomal RNA is filed under the name uncultured bacterium. Its description in RNAcentral is "partial 16S ribosomal RNA". It matches the Rfam family "Bacterial small subunit ribosomal RNA", at positions 338 to 795 of the family's 1533-position model. The record is from RNAcentral.